This 1172-nucleotide long non-coding RNA is filed under the name Vulpes vulpes (red fox). Its description in RNAcentral is "lncRNA (ENSVVUG00000005425.1)". The record is from RNAcentral. Lineage: Eukaryota; Metazoa; Chordata; Mammalia; Carnivora; Canidae.
AUGAUGCCUGUGUCCACAGUCUGUGCCGCCUCCCUCAACUCCUCUUUCUGGCCCCAGGAUGGCUCUGUUCUGAACACAUCCCCCCCGCCGCCGGAGGAGGCCAGCCGAGACCAGCUGGACAACAGGAAGGACCUCCCAUGGGGCGCCCAGUUCGAGCUGCCACCCAUGCUGCUGGAGACAGACAGUGGCUACAGGUCGUCACAAGGCACACCAUCAAAAACACUGGGAAAGCAAGAUUCCCUUCUGCCUCCGCCGUCCCUCCGCAUCCUGCUAACCCCUCCAUCUCACGAGCAGUCGAGCUCCCUAAGUGUGAAGAAUUUGGUCUCCAAGCUGUGCUCCCCCACUGGCCGGGACCUGGGUGCCUCGCAGGUGGCAGCGGAGGCUGGUGGCCUGGCCCUGAGCGCUCAGGCCCUGAAGGAGAUGGCUGUGAGCACCAAGAGCAUUGCCCUCAUCGCAGCCACCCGGCGCUCCAAAGCACAGGACCGCGAGGGUGGCGGUGGCCGCUCCUCCAUCCGCCUUCUGGAGGAGGUGGCCCUGGACUCCAGGGACCCGAAGGCCAGUGUCACCCCAGACCCAAGCCCAGCAGACAGGAGGUGGCCCCUUGCCAGCCCGGGCAAGGACUGUUCUACGGAGAGGAAGGCCAGGAGGAAGCGGUCACCCUCCCUCACCUGGAGCGUGCAGACGGUGGGUGGACACUGCUUGGCCACCUCGCCCAGUCCUGGGGUCCAGCUGGGACGGUGGGGGGGGGGGUCGGGACUGGCUCCCAUAGUUACAGUGGAUGCAGGAAGGCCCCAGGUGCAAAGUAGUCGGAGGGAGGACACCCAGCCCCACCACCCCUUCCUAAUAGGAAGCUGCAUGUGUGCAUGGUUUCUGUAGGCAGGUCACAGUGCAGGCACCAGCUCUUGAUCUGUUUCCUCCCUUAACAUUCUUUCAUAAAUUCUCAAGUGUCUAUAUGAUAUUUGAAUUUUAGCCCUGAAAAGACACAUCACUUGGUUCUAGCGCAUGUCACUAAAUAGUAACCAUGUGAGUCGUGAAGCACUGCCCACCACAAGGUGCCCCUCUCCGACCAGAGCCUGGCACCAGGCCUGGCACUCACGGCCUCCCACUGCCAGGGCUGAGCUCCACGCGCAGUCCCAUUGCGCAGCCACUUACGGUUGUCUGCUCCCUGUUCC